CGCUUUGUGGUUCAACUGAUUUGAAGAGCUUGCUCAGAUAUGACGAUGGACAUUGCAAAGAGUGGCGAACGGGUGAGUAACACGUGGGAAACCUACCUCUUAGCAGGGGAUAACAUUUGGAAACAGAUGCUAAUACCGUAUAACAAUAGCAACCGCAUGGUUGCUACUUAAAAGAUGGUUCUGCUAUCACUAAGAGAUGGUCCCGCGGUGCAUUAGUUAGUUGGUGAGGUAAUGGCUCACCAAGACGAUGAUGCAUAGCCGAGUUGAGAGACUGAUCGGCCACAAUGGGACUGAGACACGGCCCAUACUCCUACGGGAGGCAGCAGUAGGGAAUCUUCCACAAUGGGCGAAAGCCUGAUGGAGCAACGCCGCGUGUGUGAUGAAGGGUUUCGGCUCGUAAAACACUGUUGUAAGAGAAGAAUGACAUUGAGAGUAACUGUUCAAUGUGUGACGGUAUCUUACCAGAAAGGAACGGCUAAAUACGUGCCAGCAGCCGCGGUAAUACGUAUGUUCCAAGCGUUAUCCGGAUUUAUUGGGCGUAAAGCGAGCGCAGACGGUUAUUUAAGUCUGAAGUGAAAGCCCUCAGCUCAACUGAGGAAUUGCUUUGGAAACUGGAUGACUUGAGUGCAGUAGAGGAAAGUGGAACUCCAUGUGUAGCGGUGAAAUGCGUAGAUAUAUGGAAGAACACCAGUGGCGAAGGCGGCUUUCUGGACUGUAACUGACGUUGAGGCUCGAAAGUGUGGGUAGCAAACAGGAUUAGAUACCCUGGUAGUCCACACCGUAAACGAUGAGUGCUAGGUGUUUGAGGGUUUCCGCCCUUAAGUGCCGCAGCUAACGCAUUAAGCACUCCGCCUGGGGAGUACGACCGCAAGGUUGAAACUCAAAGGAAUUGACGGGGACCCGCACAAGCGGUGGAGCAUGUGGUUUAA
RNAcentral lists this ribosomal RNA (929 nucleotides) under Weissella cibaria. RNAcentral describes it as "bacterial SSU rRNA". It matches the Rfam family "Bacterial small subunit ribosomal RNA", at positions 67 to 949 of the family's 1533-position model. Lineage: Bacteria; Bacillati; Bacillota; Bacilli; Lactobacillales; Lactobacillaceae. The record is from RNAcentral.